Molecule: ribosomal RNA, 253 nt
Filed under: uncultured bacterium
Lineage: Bacteria
Description: partial 16S ribosomal RNA
Rfam family: Bacterial small subunit ribosomal RNA
Source: RNAcentral
UACAGAGGUCUCGAGCGUUAGGCGGAAUCACUGGGCUUAAAGCGUGUGUAGGCAGAUUGGUAAGUACUUUGUGAAAUCCCACGGCUUAACCGUGGAACUGCUUGGUAUACUGCCAGUCUUGAGCCAGCUAGGGGCUACCGGAACAAAUGGUGGAGCGGUGAAAUGCGUAGAUAUCAUUUGGAACGCCAAUGGUGAAAACAGGUAGCUGGGGCUGUGCUGACGCUGAGACACGAAAGCCAGGGGAGCAAACGGG